Molecule: long non-coding RNA, 2175 nt
Organism: Pteropus alecto (black flying fox)
Lineage: Eukaryota; Metazoa; Chordata; Mammalia; Chiroptera; Pteropodidae
Exons: 4
Source: RefSeq, a predicted model, not a curated record
CCAGAGCUGCGGCCGCUGAAGCGCAGGCUUCCGUGGCUGUCUCGCGGACUUGCUGCCGAUUUUUGAGUCCCGCUUUCAGGGAUCACAAGCUCAGGGUAACACCGGCCCUGUGGGCGCAUCCAGCCAUCGACAGAUGCGAGCGCUAAAGAUGCGGACGAGGAACAGGGCAGCUCCGGGUUAAUGAGGGCUGGGGAUUGGAGCGUCUCAAAUCCAGCGCAGCCGUGGUCCGACAGAGGUCCCCGGGGUUCGGGCCGGCGGGGAUGUGCUGCCGGGCCCUGCCUUGGGUUGGAAAGUUCUGUGCGCCCCCAGCCUUUUCGAGCAGAGUCUCUGAGGCAGGGAUCUCGGCCCCUAGCCGGGCGGACUUAUUAGGGGCACUGGCUUGGUCACCCACGCCACCCAUUCAGCCCAGUUUUCUGGGCCGCCGCUAGAGCCAAACUGGUGUUGUGCCCAGUUGGCUUCUGUUUUAGAAGAAAAAUUCACUACGGAUAUGAGAUAUUAGAUCUCAGGCUCCUUGAGGACACGGGCCAGUUCUGCCUGUCUCAGCAUUCCCAGUGUCUUUUGUGGCACCUGAGCCUGAGAUGUUCCUAGUUAAUCCGGAACCCAGAGAACAGCCUUGGCCCAAUUACAGGAAUGAGGAAAACUUCAUGGGAAAUGGGGAGAAGAAGGUGAGGAAGUUGAAGCUAAGAAAAGUUAAGUGACUUGUCUAAUGGUAUUUUGUAAGCUGUAAAAGUGGGACCAGGACUCAGGUCAGGGAUCCUUGAACCAAAGCAGAAGAAUAGGAUGUCAGCAAGGGUGGUACAAUAGGAGGACCUCCACUCGUAUGCCCCCACAGCCCCUCCAGUAAUUUGGCAGCCAUCGAUGGACAGAAAUGCUUUGUGGGAUCCUGCUUUUGGAAUCCAGGUAGGAGGCUAUGAAACCCCAGUGGAGCCCAAGACUGAGGAGAGCCAUUUAGAGAGGGCAGUUGCACACUUGUGUGGCAGGCUCAUCAGCUGUGGUCCUGGUUACAGACUUAGAGACAGCCCUUUCCCCUGGUGGACUUGACUACAGCCUCAGUUGUCCUUGGUCCUGCCAAGGCCUUCUUCAGGCACCAUCUGCCAAGGGACCUGGGAGGAUCUACACCCUCCCAUGCCUUGAGUAAGAGGCCAGCUGACCUCAGUCCUGGAUGUGGACCAUGAAGCAGCCCAUGACCAGCUCCAGUCUCUCUUAGCCACGGCCUGGGCUCAGUCCUGCCUACUCAGGGACCCAGCAGGAGAUAUGCUCCUCUGUAUUCCUAGAGGCAGGCCUGCUGAAUUUGGUUCAAGGUCAAGGGUUGUGGAUCCUGAAGCACCUCUGUGACUUUGUUCAAGCCCAAACCAGCCCACCUAGUGACCUUCUCAGCGAAGCAGUAGGAGCCUUCCCAGGGACACGGUGGGAACCAUACCUUUCCACAUACCUGGAACAGGCCCAUCGCCAUUGGACCCAACUGCAGACCCUGAAAUGGACUCUUGUCUUAGCACUAGCCCUUCUGACCAAGGUCCUGGAGGCAGUCCCAUUUUCCUAGGAACUAGGAAGGAUCCACACUUGCCUCAGUUCCUGGUACCAGGCCUGCCAACUGCGGACUCCACUGUGGACCAGCAGCUGCCAUGUAACCUGGCUUCAACCCUGCUCAAGUACAGUACCAGAGACAAUCCCAAAACCAGUCCGUAAGGCCUCAAAGAGGUGUUUGCUUCUUCAAAUGCACAGAUGAAGACACCAACACUACAUGGAUCAUGAAAAAUCAGGUAAACACCAGAUAAUCAAAGGAAAGAAAUAAAAGUCCAGUAACCAACUCCAAAGAAAUGGAAAUCUACAAAUUGCCUGACAAAGAAUUAAAAAUAAUCAUCUUAAAAAGCUUAAAAAGAUGCAAGAGAACACAGACAACUAAGGAAAAUCAAGAAAACAAUAUAUGAACAAAAUGAGAGAUUUGGUAAAGAAAUAGAAACCAUAAAAAAGAACCAAACAGAAAUUCUGAAGCUGAAGAAUACAGUGACUGAACUGAAAAAACUGAAUUGAGAGCUUCAACAACAGACUUGAUCAUGUAGAAGAAAGAAGACAAGUCAUUUUAAAUUAGCAUGUUGACUAUAGUUAAUAAUACUCUAUUGUACAUUUGAAGUUUGCUAAAAGAGUAGAUAUUAUGUGUUCUCACCACAAACAAAA